This 385-nucleotide unclassified non-coding RNA is filed under the name soil metagenome. Its description in RNAcentral is "partial contains 5.8S ribosomal RNA, internal transcribed spacer 2, and large subunit ribosomal RNA". The stretch from base 1 to 120 matches the Rfam family "5.8S ribosomal RNA", at positions 35 to 154 of the family's 154-position model. The record is from RNAcentral.
GAUGAAGAACGUAGCGAAAUGCGAUAAGUAAUGUGAAUUGCAGAAUUCAGUGAAUCAUCGAAUCUUUGAACGCACCUUGCACCCUUUGGCAUUCCGAAGGGUAUGCUCGUUUGAGUGUCAUUGUACUCUCACACUCCCAAUUGCUUUGGAUUGGGAGCGAUGGACUUGGGUGUUGCUGCUUGACUGAGGCUCACCUGAAAUAUGUUAGUGCACCUCUUGAUUGGACAUAGUACGGCGUGAUAAGUGUCUUCGCCGGCUCCUCGCAAAGAGGGUGGCCGAUCGGGAGCUCUGUUGCUUCAAACUGUCUUCGGACAAUCUUCUGGCGACUUGACCUCAAAUCGAGUAGGACUACCCGCUGAACUUAAGCAUAUCAAUAAGCGGAGGA